AUUGAACGCUGGCGGCAGGCCUAACACAUGCAAGUCGAGCGGAUGAAGGGAGCUUGCUCCUGGAUUCAGCGGCGGACGGGUGAGUAAUGCCUAUGAAUCUGCCUGGUAGUGGGGGAUAACGUCCGGAAACGGGCGCUAAUACCGCAUACGUCCUGAGGGAGAAAGUGGGGGAUCUUCGGACCUCACGCUAUCAGAUGAGCCUAGGUCGGAUUAGCUAGUUGGUGGGGUAAAGGCCUACCAAGGCGACGAUCCGUAACUGGUCUGAGAGGAUGAUCAGUCACACUGGAACUGAGACACGGUCCAGACUCCUACGGGAGGCAGCAGUGGGGAAUAUUGGACAAUGGGCGAAAGCCUGAUCCAGCCAUGCCGCGUGUGUGAAGAAGGUCUUCGGAUUGUAAAGCACUUUACGUUGGGAGGAAGGGCAGUAAGUUAAUACCUUGCUGUUUUGACGUUACCAACAGAAUAAGCACCGGCUAACUUCGUG
RNAcentral lists this ribosomal RNA (484 nucleotides) under uncultured bacterium. RNAcentral describes it as "partial 16S ribosomal RNA". It matches the Rfam family "Bacterial small subunit ribosomal RNA", at positions 30 to 507 of the family's 1533-position model. The record is from RNAcentral.